Molecule: long non-coding RNA, 765 nt
Filed under: Rattus norvegicus (Norway rat)
Lineage: Eukaryota; Metazoa; Chordata; Mammalia; Rodentia; Muridae
Description: long non-coding RNA NONRATT025738
Source: RNAcentral
AAAGGCCGGGGUCCAUCGUGCCCUGGAUCUGGCCGACUGGCAUCCUGUGUUUUCCUAGCUCACAGGCCUGGAGUUUGGGACUGCCCUCUGCCGAGCAACUUUGCUAGGAGGAGACUACACUGACUGCUUGCUGUACCUGACGGUCAUUUCUCCAGCCCUGACUUGACCCCGCGUUUCCUAUUCAACUUUUAGUUCCCGGCCCCAAAGAACUCCCGAAACGUGGAACCUCUAGAGUAGGAACCGACAGGAGCGUGCCUUUGGCGUGGGAAGGGAAAACCAAGGUACCUUGGAGGUGGCGCAUCGCCGCCCCCGCUCCCCGCCCGUCACUCCCUCGCACACUCAGCUCCCGCACCCGCCCCGCGCUUAGCUGGAACUUUCUCCCGCUGGGCUCCGGAGCCUCUGGGCACCGGGGACCGGCUCCUGCCGGGAUCGGAAGAGAACUCCAGGCUGAGGCGAGAGCCGAAAGCCAGAAGAGCGGAGUGCGAGCGGUUUGAAACGCAGUCCCGGCCACCACAACCACUGUCACCGCGCAGUCCGGCGAGCCCCGCCCGACCCGAUCUCGGCGGGCCGUGGUGUUCGCAGCGACGAGUCCCCUCUGCGCCCCGCCCGCCCGGCGCGGCCAGCAGCCUGCGGAGGUGUCAUCUGAAGCUUCCACAGACUCAUGACUCCAAGUGCACGAAAAGUAGCCUGGAUCUCACAGACCUAGAACUACACCAUCUGCCCUGAAGAGAGAUGUAUUUCUGCAAACGCAUCCAAAACCAGGGC